GACGAACGCUGGCGGCGUGCUUAACACAUGCAAGUCGAACGGAAAGGCCCCUUUGGGGGUACUCGAGUGGCGAACGGGUGAGUAACACGUGCGUAACCUGCCCUUGACUUUGGGAUAACUUCAGGAAACUGGGGCUAAUACUGGAUAGGAAUCCUUGCUGCAUGGUGGGGGUUGGAAAGCUUCGGCGGUUUUGGAUGGACUCGCGGCUUAACGGCUUGCUGCUGGGGUAGUGGCUUACCAAGGCUUUGACGGGUAGCCGGCCUGGGGGGGCGACCGGCGAUCUUGGGACUGAGAUGCGGCCCAGGCACGGACGGGAGGCAGCAGUGGGGAAUAUUGCACGAUGGGCGGAGGCCUGAUGCAGCAACGCCGCGUGCGGGAUGACGGCCUUCGGGUUGUAAACCGCUUUCAGCAGGGGCGAAGCUUGUGGUGACGGUACCUGCAGAAGAAGCACCGGCUAACUACGUG
This 465-nucleotide ribosomal RNA is filed under the name uncultured bacterium. Its description in RNAcentral is "partial 16S ribosomal RNA". It matches the Rfam family "Bacterial small subunit ribosomal RNA", at positions 28 to 507 of the family's 1533-position model. The record is from RNAcentral.